AUUGAACGCUGGCGGCAUGCUUUACACAUGCAAGUCGAACGGUAACAGGCCUUCGGGUGCUGACGAGUGGCGAACGGGUGAGUAAUGCAUCGGAACGUACCCAGAGGUGGGGGAUAACGCAGCGAAAGCUGUGCUAAUACCGCAUGUGGUCUGAGGAUGAAAGCGGGGGACCGAGCAGCAAUGUUUGGCCUCGCGCCUUUGGAGCGGCCGAUGUCGGAUUAGCUAGUUGGUGGGGUAAAGGCCUACCAAGGCGACGAUCCGUAGCUGGUCUGAGAGGACGACCAGCCACACUGGGACUGAGACACGGCCCAGACUCCUACGGGAGGCAGCAGUGGGGAAUUUUGGACAAUGGGCGCAAGCCUGAUCCAGCAAUGCCGCGUGCGGGAAGAAGGCCUUCGGGUUGUAAACCGCUUUUGGCAGGAACGAAACGGUGUCCGCUAAUACCGGGCGCUAAUGACGGUACCUGCAGAAUAAGCACCGGCUAACUACGUG
Molecule: ribosomal RNA, 492 nt
Filed under: uncultured bacterium
Lineage: Bacteria
Description: partial 16S ribosomal RNA
Rfam family: Bacterial small subunit ribosomal RNA
Source: RNAcentral